GACAGUUUAGAAGUAGGAGAUCUGCUAGGGGAGAAACGGUUAACUCAGGGCAAUAUAUGGAACAGAAGGCAAUACACUAAAAAACCUGACCCUGAAGGAAACAUUUCAGCUGCUGACUGGCAAGUAUCCAAACUCUCUAUGCUGCAAGGACAUCCCUUUUUUCUAUCUCAUGGAACCUAUUGUUUUACCUUACUGCUUUUCAAUGCGUUUCUAAAACUGGCAGGCAAGAGAUGUCCACAAAAGACAUGUAGAAAUCCCAUAUUGACUUGUGUGGAAUGAGUAGCUGCUGGAGCUAGGUGAACUUUUUCAAAUGUUGAUAUACAAGUUCAGAAGGGGACAGAAUCGUAUGAGGAAGGCCAAGCCCAAAGAGGAAGCAUGAAUAUUGAAACCUAAAUCAAAAAUGGAGCUCAAUUUGUCUGUCAGCAGUUUUGCGUGAAAAAUGCCCUGGCAUUUAUCAAUUAUAUGAAAGUCUGAGUAUGACGCAUGCACUAAGAACGAAAUGCCACUUUCAACAUAUGAUCUGGCUGGUGCUGUUUCCAUUUUAUUAUUGCAUUACAGUAGAAUUCAGUGUGUUAUAUCUGUAAAUGUAAAUACAUAGUGAGAGCAGUACUGCCAACCCUACAUUGCAAAAUACGGCAAUAAGAAAUGAUUAUUAAAUAAAAUUGUUGUUUGGCAGUUGCACCCCCACCUCCACCUUUGAUUCCUGCUCCACCCAAAAUUUAAAGUCAACUGCCUGGCAGUGGCAUUAGCAUGUCUAUUCGGGCAGUGCUAAGUGAGUCAUUAGACUUCAUGGCUCGUUAUAAUUUACCUGAUUCCUUCUAAACUUUUUAUUCAACAGGUAUUAAUGGUCCUCUUUUUUUUUUUUUUUAAUGGUCUUGAUGUUCCACCAGUUAAGCUUCCUUUGUUUUGCAGUUCUGCUGGCUGUUGGCUGCUCCUGUUAAUGUAGCUCCUAUUUCACAGCCCUGCAGACUGUCUUUAACUCAUUGCAAUGAAACUAUAUUUAUUUUUGCUUCAAUCUUAAACUGAAUAAUACAGCCCUGCUCCCCUGAUAUAUUAGUAAAGCUUCUAGUUUCUCUUUAAUUGGAGAAAAUGGGAUGGGAUGAUGCACCUCACCAUUUGCAUCCCCCUCUUUAAAAUUCUAGAUCUACCCAUGAAUGGAUCCAGCGUAUGUUGUGAUACAAGUCAGUUAAAGGUUAGUGCCUCAGCCGGUGUCACAGGAAAGUGUUCUCUGGCUUAAAUAGGGAGAUUGAGACACCACUGGAUGCUGAUGGCUUAAGGCGCAGGCAGAAGUGACAAUUUUUGUGUGAUCUGGCUCCUGAAACCACUCUACAACUGUGACCAAACACAAGCAUACAGCUGCAGAGCACUUCAAAAGGGCCCAGUCCCACAAAAAUCUGAAUUCUCAUU
Alligator mississippiensis (American alligator) is the source of this 1407-nucleotide long non-coding RNA. RefSeq lists it as uncharacterized. The record is from RefSeq and is a predicted model, not a curated record. The transcript has 4 exons. Lineage: Eukaryota; Metazoa; Chordata; Crocodylia; Alligatoridae.